This 591-nucleotide ribosomal RNA is filed under the name uncultured archaeon. Its description in RNAcentral is "bacterial SSU rRNA". It matches the Rfam family "Archaeal small subunit ribosomal RNA", at positions 54 to 650 of the family's 1478-position model. The record is from RNAcentral.
CGAGUCGCGAGAAUUAGAUUCUCGGCGUACCGCUCAGUAACACGUGGGCAAUCUGCCCUAUGCUGGAUAAUAACCUCGGGAAACUGAGAAUAAUGAUCCAUAGUUCACUACGCCUGGAACGGUGAGUGGAUGAAAGCUCCGGCGGCAUAAGAUGGGCCUGCGGCGUAUCAUGUUGUAGGGGGUGUAACGUACCCUCUACCCCUCUACGCGUACGGGUGUUGGGAGACAUACCCCGGAUAUGGAUUCUGAGACACGAAUCCACACCCUACGGGGUGCAGCAGGCGCGAAAACUUGGCAAUGCGAGAAAUCGUGACCAGAGAACUCCAAGUGCAUCGGGUAAGACCGGUGCUUUUCUUGACUCUAAAUAGGUCUUGGAAUAAGGGGUGGGUAAGGACGGUGCCAGCCGCCGCGGUAAUACCGGCGCCUCAGGUGGUAGUCGCUUUUAUUGGGCCUAAAACGUCCGUAUCCGGUCUGAUACAUUCGUGGGUAAAUCAACCAGCUCAACUGGUUGAAUUCUGCGAGGACGGUCAUACUUGGGACCGGAAGAGGUGUGGGGUACGCUCAUGGUAGGGGUAAAAUCCUGUCAUCCUG